RNAcentral lists this ribosomal RNA (252 nucleotides) under uncultured bacterium. RNAcentral describes it as "partial 16S ribosomal RNA". It matches the Rfam family "Bacterial small subunit ribosomal RNA", at positions 524 to 776 of the family's 1533-position model. The record is from RNAcentral.
UACGUAGGUCCCGAGCGUUGUCCGGAUUUAUUGGGCGUAAAGCGAGCGCAGGUGGUUUAUUAAGUCUGGUGUAAAAGGCAGUGGCUCAACCAUUGUAUGCAUUGGAAACUGGUAGACUUGAAUCCGGGAGAGGGUGGCGGAAUUCCAGGUGUAGGAGUGAAAUCCGUAGAUAUCUGGAGGAACAUCAGUGGCGAAGGCGGCCACCUGGACCGGUAUUGACGCUGAGGCGCGAAAGCGUGGGGAGCAAACAGG